This 118-nucleotide transfer RNA is filed under the name Myxococcales bacterium. RNAcentral's name for it is "tRNA-OTHER". Lineage: Bacteria; Pseudomonadati; Myxococcota; Myxococcia; Myxococcales. The record is from RNAcentral.
GGGGGGGUUGCCCGCGCGCGAUGGCGAGGCUACGAAGCGCGUCGGAGUACAGACUGAGACUCAAGCUCAGACUGAUGACUUCGACGUGUCAGUACAGGUUCGAAUCCUGUCUCCCUCA